This is a long non-coding RNA of Erinaceus europaeus (western European hedgehog), 788 nucleotides long. RefSeq lists it as uncharacterized. The record is from RefSeq and is a predicted model, not a curated record. Lineage: Eukaryota; Metazoa; Chordata; Mammalia; Eulipotyphla; Erinaceidae. The transcript is spliced from 2 exons.
CGCUGUGCCUCAGAAGCCUGCUCCCUCCCCAUCCUUGGUCCUCGCCUGCAAUGAGGACACGGGCCUCACCAGGUGCUGGACGUGUGCCCAGAGACCCUCCCGCUGCUGGUGGCUUUGGCGGUCUGUGGUGUGACCCGCUCACCCUGUCCUGCGGGAGGCUGUCCACUGUCUCAGGAGGGCUGUGCUAUGGCGUGCACACCGGAGCCCCCGCCACCCCACACCCAUCAGCGGCGGGCUUCGUGUCAGGCUCUGUGUUCCCCCCCACGUUAGGUUCCGUGUCUGGGAUUUUUAGCAAGUUAGAGACACAGCCACAAGAAUGCACUCCCGGCGUGGGGCCCUGCAAAGCACCCGGCCUCCCACCAGUCCCCCCAGACCUCUGCCCCCACAUGGACAAAGACAUGCCCAGCACACACAGGGCAAAGGCACAGGACCCGCCUGGCCAGCUCACACGGAUCACACGCUGCAACACAGCUUCUGUGCACGUGUGCACGCAAGGUCAUGCCACAUGUGCUCACACACAUGCACAUACAAUCAUGCCACACACAUGCGUACACACACACAUGGACAGAUUUUAAUUGAUUUCUUUUUAAAUUAAAAUAAAAUAAGUAGUUAUAACAAACUUAAAGACUGGGGAGUUAGCAUAGUGAUUCUGCAAAAGACUUUUCUGCCCUAGGCUGUGAGGCCCCGGGUUCAACCCCCAGGACUACCAUCAACCAGAGUUGAGCAGGGCUCUGGUAUCUAUCUGUCUAUCUCUUUCGCUGUCUCUGCCAUUAAAAUACAUACAUACA